RNAcentral lists this small RNA (98 nucleotides) under Arabidopsis thaliana (thale cress). Its description in RNAcentral is "ATSL107400". The record is from RNAcentral. Lineage: Eukaryota; Viridiplantae; Streptophyta; Magnoliopsida; Brassicales; Brassicaceae.
GUGCGUAGGAGAAGGACACGUGCCAUGGGUUCGGUGCCUGGUUCAUUGCGUUCAAGUUCAAGGUCGCCUCCAACUCGGACUGUCCACCAGACAAGAAC